Molecule: long non-coding RNA, 7995 nt
Filed under: Gossypium barbadense (sea-island cotton)
Lineage: Eukaryota; Viridiplantae; Streptophyta; Magnoliopsida; Malvales; Malvaceae
Description: long non-coding RNA (GBAR_LNC017943)
Source: RNAcentral
AUUUUUGAGGUGUGACAAAAAUUCUUAACUACCUCCAUAUCCGACCCAGCAAGCCAGGCUCUCUAAAACAUCCCAAGAAUGUAGACAACCUAAGAACUCUGUCAUAUUCCAGGGUUAUUUUCACUUCUUCUACUUUGUUGAAAUGGUACCAUGUGAAGCAUCUUUCACAGAACAUCUCUUGAAACGCAAGACGAUGACUGUUCUUGGAUGAGAGUUGUUCCUGAAUAAGACUUAACUUGUGGUGAUGAUUUUCUUGAUAAAGCUUGUUCUAAACAAUGGCUCGUCUAGAAAAAAGAAAAAGAAAAAAAAAGAAGCACAAUUGUUCUAAAUAUAAGUUGUUCCAAACAAUGGUUCUUCUAAACAUAUCUAUUCCUAAAAGUCAUUUUUCUAAACAAGAGUUGUUCUGAACUUUAGCUGUUCUCAAUAGUAGUUGUUCUCAAAUAACAAUUACACUAAAUGAUAGUUGUUUUAACUAAAGCCUUGUUCUGAACAUAGUUAUUCUCGAACAAUAAUUGUUCUGAACAACAACAAUUCUAAAUAAGAAUUGUUACUUCGGAAAAAAAUACGCUUGAACGCAAAAUAUCUGAAAUAUAAUAUUUUUUAUUUCAAGAAAGAGAUAGAAUAUUAGCGACUAAAAUUGAAUAUGUAUAAACACUUUUAAUAUUAAUAUAAAAAUUGAAAAAAUUUGAAUUCGUGUAUUGAAUAUCAUGGAAAUAGAGCUAACUCGAAAAAAAAAAACCUUUUAUCUUAAAUCAAACUUAAAAUUUAAAAGCCAAACUUUAGCUUAAUUUUGAAUCUCAAUUUUUAAUCAAAUUCCAGCUUCUUACAUGUACAAACAGGCACAAAUAUAUGUGUGUGUACGUAUAUAGUUUUUGACCUAAAGAUUAUAAAAACGUGGAAGCUAGAAAAUUUGUGUGCAGUUUAGUGUAAGAACUGAAAUACAAUGAUUUUUCACCUCUUUUGGGAUUAAGGAAUAAGGAAGGAGAAUUUCCACUCACAAUCUCCACAGCUAUACGUCUUGAGAUCUAUAUUUUCUUUUCUUUUCGUUUCUUUUUUCUUGUUAAAUAUAACAUAAUAAUAAAUUUAGCUUCUAACAAUUACUUCCUUUUUUUAUCAUUUUGGUGUUCAACUUUCAAAUUUUAGUUAAAUUAUUUUGUAUGAAUAUAUUAAUUGAACAAUUAAAAUUUUAAUAAUAUUGACAUGGUAACCCACAUAUACUUCAUUACUAAUGUGGACAAAUUUUAAAAAAAAAGAUAUGAAAUUUUUGAAUUUAUAAUUUUUCAAUAUUUUAUAUAUAUAUUAUUUUACGGAGUACAUGGGAGUCGUCAUGUAGGUUGCCACAUCAACACCUUUAAAAUUUUAAUGGCUCAAUCAAUUUUUCUAUAAAAAAAAAGAAUUAUGAUCAAAGUCAUGAAAGGGAUUAACGUAAGCGAUUAAAUUUGUUAUUAUACCUAUAUAAAACACAACUUUGACACUGAGCUCUCUCAAGGUGUUUAUUCGAUGGAAGGAACUCUCAAGUGCUUGAGAAAACUAGUGAGAGCUUGCCUCUAUUUAUAGAAGAAAGUAUGAGCAUAAAAAAGUUUUGGUUAAAGGGUAAAAAAAAGUUCUUAGUAAAAAUAUAGAAAAUAAGUUAAACCCUUAUAGAAAGUAUGAACAUAAUUGAGUCCUCAGUGACCUCAAAAAAUCAAUUGGUCUCAUUCAUUAAGGAACACUAUCAUUAAUCGGUUUGACCGUUAAUGGUUGUUGACGUGACAAAAAAAAAAAGCAAUGAAAAACUAGCACCUAACAUGAAAUGUGGAGAAGUAUGCUGACAUGAAAACUAUUAAACUUGUUUAGGGGUUGAGCUACCCACCCAAACUUAAAGGUCCACUUGAAAUUUGGGAGGAAUUGGGCAAAACAAAUUAGGUCUGUUUAAAAUAUAAAAUGGGUCUAGGCUCAAGCAUUCAAGGCCUGAGCUCGCCUUGACCCGUUUCUAAGUUUGUAAUAUACUAUAUUAGGUUAUUUUAUAUAUAUAUUAUGUAACUUAUGUCACAUAAAAAUUAAAUUUAUAGUAAUAAUAAUACUAUAAUGUAAACAUAUUAAAAACAUUAAGUUGUAUACAAAUAAAAUUUUAAUAAAUAAAAAGUAUAUAACUUUAUUAAAUAUUAAAUUAAAAUAUAUAAAUAUUUUUUUUAAAUAAAAAUAAUAUGGGCAUGCCAAAAUUGGACUUGGAUUAGUCAUUUAUAUAUGAGUAGAUUUGGACAAAAUUUAGACUUAUAUUUCGAAUCAAGCCGGAUUUGGCAAGUAUGAAAUGUGUUAAUAUCAUGAUAACCUCAACUUAGAUCCAACUCAACCCAUGAAUCUCUAAAUGCCACAUCCUAAAGAAUUUUAAAAAUAAAAAUAAAAAUCCUAAAACAAUAAUAAAUCUAAAAAAAAGAGUUUUAAAUUUUACUAAAAAAUUGCAGAUCCAUAAUGAACUGGACAAAUUAGUGUCCAAGUUGAUUUGAAUUUCAAGAUUCAUUUUGAACAAACAUAAAAUUAUAAAAAUUAUUAAUUAUUAAUUAUUAAAAAUUCUAAAUAUAUAAAUAUAUAAUUAUAUGUGGUGAAUAUAAUAUGGUGCAAAAUAAAACAACAAAUGAUUAUAUAUAUAUAUAUGCUAAAAUAUGGUGGAAUGAACUUUUAUAAUUUCACCCUUUUAACCUUUAACCUAAUAUUUUAUUAUAUCUAAAUUGAAAUAAAAUAAAUAUGCUCCCAAAUUACAGUUCAAAUAGAAAAAAAAAAGUGUUUUCACCAUAUAAGGUAAAACUUUUUCCUUGUUUUUUAGCAUAAUACUUACUAUAUUUCAACCAUGAUAAAAUAAAAUAAACUCAGCAAUUACAGUGUGUUUUCACCAUAUUUUUGCACAUAUAUAGGCUAAAAGCAAGGUAAAGGAUAUUUUCACAAUAUAUAUAUGUAUAUAUAUAUAUAUAUAUAUAUAUAUAUAUAUAUCACCUAUCAUUUUUAUUUUGCCAUAUUCAUCACCUGCUUUUAUAUAUAUACAAGCAGUUUCUUUUUAGAAUUUUUAAUAAUCAUUUUAUUUUUUUUAUAGUUUUGUGUUCGUUAAGAAUGAAUUUAGACAAAUUAAUGUAUAGACUGAAAUGAAAUUGGACAUCAUUUUAUCCAGAUUCAUUCUAGAUGCAUAUUUUUAUUUUAAAUAUCUUUUAUAAUUUUUUACAAUUUUUUUAAUUUUUAAAGUUUUUGGUGACAUGACAUUCCACAUGUAAGUUCUUCAUCGCUUUCUCAAUCACAUCAAUAUUCGGUAACGAUCAAACAAGACAAUGAAGUAUUUCGUUAAUGAAAAAGACCAAUUAGGUGCACUUCUUCUAUAAAGGCUUAAUUGAAUUUUUUAUUUUUUUAUUAAAAGUUUUUUUUUAUCUUAGCCUAAAAAAAUAAACAUAAAAGAAUAACUAACAAAAACUAUAGAGACCUUAACAAAGUUUGAAGAUAGAUUUUUUCAGUUAAAAUUCUCUUUCCUUUUCCACUCCAUAAUCCAAAAACAAAAACAAAAACAAAAACCCAAAAACGAUUGUAUUUGAACUUUUUGAGUGCCGAGUUAUCCUAGAAGUAUUCUGCCAAACCUUAGCUCUCAUAUAUUUUGAGAAAUAAUUUUUUACCAUAUUCAGUUAAAAAGUAUAUAUAGAUACUUAGUUUUGGUUACUAAUAUUUUAUCUCUUCUUAAAGAUAAAUAAGAUUAUGUUUCAUGAAAUUGCGCUUCCAAGGAUAAUACAAAAGUUAACUCGAAAUAAGUGGCAUUGUUUCUUCACUUGAUCACUUCUAAAAGAACAACUCUUGUUUAGAAUAGUUGUUCAAAAGAAUAAUUGUUUGAGAAGAGAUAUGUUCGGAACAACUAGGUUUAGAAGAGGGCUCCAAUUUAGAACAAUUGCCAUCUAGAGUAACUGUCAUUUGAGAACAACUAAUAUUUGAAACAACUCUUAUUCACCUGGUGUCGAAACCAUUUUUAAGUUUGAAAAAUGGGGGUCGACUUUUUAAAAAUGGAAAUGGGAGUUGCCACCGACCUUUUAUUGAGGUGUGAUCGGAUCACCAUUUAAAAUGAAUUUGGUCUACGAAAUUUUGAGAAAAUAGAUUCGGGAGUCGAUUAUGCACGAGGAAGGCUUAGCACCCUCGUAACGCCCAAAAUUGGUACCGAAUUGAUUGUUUGGUAUCUUAAUGUCGAAAAUUUGAAAAGAUUUUAAAAUAUCAUCCUUGAAUGAGAAAACUUGAAUAAACUAAAUUGAAUGAUAAGGCGCACUCAUUUCGCAGAAAUAAAUUGCCACACUCAGUGAGUUAGGGUGCAACCAUUCAAUCUUCGAAAUUAGAUUUGUCCCUUUUUUAAGAAAAUCAUGUACUUUAAGAAGGAUAUUUGAUUAUUUAAGUCAAUUGAGAAAUCAGAAUCCAGUAAGUUAGGGUUUACUUUUUCAAAAUUCUUAAACAUCAAACAUUGCCUUUAUUUUAAAAUCGAGAUAACAAAACGUCAUAUCCAGUAAGUUAGAAUCCAACAUUUUGAAAUCUUAAGAACUUUAUUUUAAAAAUUAUAUGGUUUAAAUAAAAUGAACACUUGAUUAUCUAAAUGCAUUGAAAAAAUUGAAGCCCAGUAAGUUAGGGCACAAUUUUCUCGGGAACUAUGAACACCAAGCCUUUUUAGAAAUUAUGAAAUAAAAUGAUUGUAGUGCUUUAAUAAGAUACAAUUCUUACAAAUGGAAGAUGAUUGAAUAGUAAUACACAAUGCAAAAGAUAAAUAACAACCCAAAUAACAGAGAUAAAUAAAAAUUGAUUUAACACAAACAUAUAACAUAUAAUAAUCACACUAAGAUCAAAACAAUAAUACAUCUAUUUUAGAAAUGAAUAAUUUAAUAGGUUAUAUAUAUAUACAAAAUAAUAGUAUUUAAAGAAUAUUGUUAUGUAAAUAAAAAAGAAUUUUAAAAUAUAGCAUUAAAAUAAAAUAUUAAAAUAUAUAAAGUAUAUCAAAUUCUUAUGAAUAUGUAUAUAUAUUGAAAGAAUGACAGAACAAAUAAUAACAUGCCAAGUUUGCAAAUAAAGUAUAUAAUAGAUUUUUUAAAUAAUGUAUGAUAAAUUUUAAAAAAUAAUAAUUUAAAAUAAUAAUAUAUCACAUCAUAGAAUUAUAUUAAUAAAUUUAAAAACAAUGUCGAAUUGAUAUUAAAAUAUGCUAUAAAUAAAUUUAAAAUAGAUGCUAAUCCAAUUUGUAAUUAUGCUAUUAGAAUCUAAAUUUAAAUUGAAACUUAAUUUAAAGUACAGAAAUAAUAAUAAUAAUAAUAAUAAUUGUCGAAACCGUUUUUUGAAAAUAAAAAUUUUAGUUGUCGACUUUAAAAAUAAAACAGGAGUCGCCACCGAUCCUUUAUAAAGGUGUGAUCAGCCCACCUUAAAAAAUGAUUUUGGUUUGCGAAAUUUGAGAAAACAGGUUCGGGAGUCAGUUACGCACGAGGAAGGAUUAGCACCCUCGUAACGCCCAAAAUUGGUACCAAAAUGAUUUUUGUUAAUGUCUUGGUGUCGAAAAUUUGAAAAGAUUUUAAAAGGAAACUCUUUAUUUCAUGAAUAAAAAAAUAGUAAGACAUUCAUAUUUCAAAGAAAUAAAACACCACACCCAGUGAGUUAGGGCAUAAUGUUUUUAAAUCUCCAAAAUACCCGAAUAUUGCCUUUUGCUUUUGAAAAUUCUUAUUUCGAGAAGAAAAUGUCAUGACCAGUAAGUUAGGACCCAACAUUUUUGAAUUCCCGAGAAUAAGCUUUUAUUUGAAAUUUGUGGAUUUAUUGCAAAACAAAUACUUAGCUUUCUAAAUUCAUCGAAAAAUAAUCGCAAUCCAGUAAGUUAGGACACGAUCUUUCUCGAGAAUCAUGAAUGCCAAAUAUUUUGAAAAUUUAUAAAAUAUGAUGAUUUUAAUGCUUUGAGAAAAUCAAAAUAUAUUUUUUAAAGGGAUGCUAAAAAAGGGGUUAAGGUAUAACAUGAAACGGGUACUCUAAUUUCAAACAUAUAUGAAUGAAUAUUUACAAAGAUAUAUACAAGUAGGUAUAAUGUACAAAUAAAUUUACAAAUAAAAAGAAGGAAUGAAAUACAUCAAACCAAAAAACUAAUAAAAAAUGCAUGUAUAUAUGUAUAUGAAAAUCAUGAAAAUAAAAUAAAGAUAAAAAAAUGUAUAUGUGUAUAUAUUUACAAAAUAAAUAAUAAAAAAUGUAUAAGUAUAUAUAUAAAAUAUAAAGUAUAUAAAAGUUUUAAAAAAUAUAAAAAUAUAUAUAUAAAACGUAUGAAUAAAAUAUAUGCAUGUAUUCAUAAAAGCUUAAAAAUAUAUAUAUUAAAAAAAUGCAUAUAUAUUAUAUAUAAAAAUAUGUGUAUGUACUAUAUGAAAAAAAUGCAUAUAUAUAUAUAUUAUGUAAAAACCAUGCGUGUAUGAGUAUAGAAAUAAUGAUAAUAACCAUAAUAAUAAAUAAUAUAAUAAUAAUGAUAAAUAUUUUUAAAAAAAUAAAAAAAAUAGCUAAAAUGGACUAAAUUGAAUUAAAAACGAAAAAAUGGGGCAGAUUCGAAGCAAAUUAAAGAUAGGACCACAUUGAAUGCGAACACAACAAAGGAGGAUCAAAAGGGAAAUUAUUCCCACCUUCCAAAACGCUGCGCAGCAAUGGGCCAGAAUGGAACAACAACACAACAUGCGGGAAAAUUUAAAAGAAAUCAGAAAUUCAAUUUAGACGCACUGCAAGAAUAGGGGACCGAGCGCGCAAAUAGACCAUUUAAGGUCAGACGCACGGAUUCCCCCUUUCCAAACAGCACCGUUUCGUCUUUGCUUUAAAGUCUUAAAAAAACAAAAUUAAAACUAAAAUAAAGUUUCAGAUUCUUUCCUUCCUGAAAGAAAAAUUUUCUAGGGUUCCCUCAACCCUUUGAGCGCCGCCGCUCCCCUUUGCGCCAAGGCUCCGAUUGCGACGGAGAUGGCCACGACUCGGCGGGUUCGACGUAAAGGUAAGUUUUUUCCUUCCUUUUCUUUAUAUUUUGAGCCAAAAAAACAUAAAAACAAGACAAAUAACUUACAGAACGAUGAACACCAAAACAAAAUAAAACGAGGGAAAUCACCUUUAUUCAAAGAAAAUUUUCUAUUUCUCUUUAAUCUUUUUCUCUGUAUUUUUGUAUCUUUUUCUCUUACCGAAUUCCCCCCCCCCCUUUUUGAGUCCAUGGAAUAGGGCUUUUAUAGCCUAAAAAUAAUAGAAAGAAGAAGAAAAAAAAACUAUUCUCUAUUCGAAAUCUGUUAUUUUUCCUUCUUUUUUGUUGCUAUUUGUUCCUGUUUGUUGCUUUUUUGGGUUGUUUGUAGGUGCGUGCUUGGAGGCGUGUGCGAGAUUCGCGGCGGGCGGCGCGAUCUGCGGAGUGCAAGGGGGACUGCUGGGCGUGGGAGCGGCGCGCACGUAGGGGGUGGUUGCGGCUUGCGACGACGGCAGAGAGGCUCUUAGGGUUUCUGCUAUUUUUUUGUGGGCUAGGCUUAGUUUGUUGGGUCUAUUGGGCUGUUUGAGUAUUGGGUUUGUAAAAAUUUGGGCCUUUAUUUUUUUGCAUGCGGGCCCGGGUAGAUUGGGCUUAUUACAAUAAUAAUAAAAUGUUUAUUUAGCAUAAAAACAAUAAAUAUUUACAAAAUUAAAUGGAAUAUAUAAAAAAGAAUAAUAAAAAUGAUUGAAUUAAAAUUACAAAGUUUGAAGGACUAAAUUUACAACCAAAUCCAAAACUAAGGACCAAAGUAACAAUUAAGCGCACAACUUCAAGAAUUCAAAUCCAGAGUACGAAAACGCCACCGUUUGAUCUUGGACCAAAAUGAAAUUAGAAUAACGAUAUAGUAUAAAUUAAAAAAUCGAAAGAAAUCGAAUUGAAACCAUGCAAAACAAAGGACCUAUUGUGUAAAUAAACCUUUGAACAAAAUUGUGCGGAUCUUUCCCCGGUCGGGUCACUGCGAGGAUCUGCCUUCAAACGACGCCGUUUUGAAACCAUCGUCUUGGCAU